UUGAUGCGACCGGUACACGGCGCGAAACCGUGGCCACUCCUCGGCACAGGGGUUGAUUCCUCCGGACACGCGGACCUUUCCCGGCCGGGGGUAACUUUUCUUCAAAUCUAAUUAUUCGAUUUGAGUGCUCGUGUUAACGGAAAAUCGAGUCGUCCGAGUUGGUGCUCGGUCUUGCGACGACACUCUCGACGCAGUGCAGUGUACUUGAUUUGUGUCAAUCCUUCUGACAGUCUUUUGCAUUGAUUUUAAUAUAUUUUUUCUACAUUGUCGUUGAUGUCCUCGUGAUCAUCGUAAAUUCGAUAUUUAUCUUUUCUCUUCAAUUAUAAGACUGUGCGCUUCUUUCAAAACUUUCCCUUGACACAUUGAAGAAUGGCGGGUAACAGCGUUCCGGUCUUAUUGGUUACUGCAAAUGUUGGCAGUAUUUUCGAGGAGCCUAGCGUGAUGUUAAAAAUUUGGACGGAAGAAUUUUUAUCUACUAUACUGAGGUUGGAUCCAAAAUUUAUUGCACUGCACUGCCAAGAAGUAGGUGGAAAAAAUUAUGAGCACAGCACCAGACAAGUGGAAGAUUUUGUUAGAUUAUUAAUGUCUUCCGAAGAAUUAAGGCUGUUUGAUAAAAUUAGAGUAUUCUUAGAUGAAGAUUAUUCAUCUGCUGAACAUUUUACGGCACUUGGAAAUUUUUACUUUGUGCAUGAAUCUUUGAAAAACGUUUUAUUAUGGGAUUUCCAAGAAUGUACUUUUAUAUCCGUAAAUGGAAAGGAAGUUCAUUCUGGUAACAUAGAAGCAGUCACAACCAAAGAAAAAGCUAAGUUUCCUCAGGAAUUCUUUCCAGAAUGUAAAUGGUCUAGAAAAGGAUUUCUAAGGACACGAUGGAGUAUUAGUGGAACAGUUUUUGAUCUCAUAAAUAUACAUUUAUUUCAUGAUGCCAGUAAUUUUAUUGCUAUGGAAACAUUUCCAUCCGUAUAUAGUAAAACGCGUAGAAGAGCACUCGAGCAUACAUUAGAUAGGUUUCAUAAUGAUAAAUAUUCAAAUGUACCAUACUUUUUAUUUGGAGACUUUAAUUUUAGGACAGAUACAGCCGGUGUAAUUAAAAAACUUACAGAAGAUACUCAAGAGAGAAGGUUAUCAAACAAAGGAAGCAUUUCAAAGCUACAAUUUCAUAAUAAAGACGAUGAUCUCAUAUUAACAUUAGGAAAAAAAGAAUUUUCUCAUUAUGAGCAUCAGAAUGUUUUUGUGAAAAAUAGUGGACAAUGGCUACGUGAAUAUGAUAGAGAGCUGGAAGACUUUGAUGGAAGAUUAUUUGAAUUUCCGAUUAAAUUUAUACCCAGUUAUCCAUUUGAGGAAGAUAUCAAUGAAGGUUCAAAUUAUAUGCAAACAAGAGUACCGGCUUGGUGUGACCGUGUUCUAUUGAAUCCUACCGCUAAAAUGCUAGUCCAAGAUAUAUCAUCACCUGAUGCUGUGGAAUAUGGAAUAAUAGGUCCAACAACUUGUAUGGGCGAUCAUAAGCCUGUUUUUCUGGAGUUUCGAAUGAAUCUCUAAGCACUAAGAGAUGCACGAUAAUACAUAAGGAUCGUCCAUUUUUUCCCGUUUGCAGCCAGUCUAUUUGAGGGCUAAUCUCAUCGUGGACGAAGACGUGAUGAACGAGAAGUCCGAAUCUGGUACGAUGUCCAAUUUGAGCAGUCGUGAAAUAUUCAACAAUAUCAA
This 1701-nucleotide unclassified non-coding RNA is filed under the name Apis florea (little honeybee). RNAcentral describes it as "inositol polyphosphate-5-phosphatase A, transcript variant X1". Lineage: Eukaryota; Metazoa; Arthropoda; Insecta; Hymenoptera; Apidae. The record is from RNAcentral.